Doryrhamphus excisus (bluestripe pipefish) is the source of this 2883-nucleotide non-coding RNA. The record is from RefSeq and is a predicted model, not a curated record. Lineage: Eukaryota; Metazoa; Chordata; Actinopteri; Syngnathiformes; Syngnathidae.
CGGCAGCCGCGGAGCUUUGAGUUGCUGCCGUAACACGGACCUUAUUUUUGAUGGAUAGUGUGUCUCUAAACGGAGGCUGACCUUUGAACUCUAACGGAGGAGGUCAGUGACGGCAUGUCGCCCCCUGCUGGCAUGGAGCGCUGUGAUUGACAGCGAGGACAGAUGCUGUCGUCUAAACAGGGGCCAUCACAAGAACGCUGCAUUACUAUUGGGACGCUCGUAUGACAUCAACCUUCAAACAGGAAGUCCACUCACUGUGGAAUCUUUUCCCGGUGGAAGUUCGUGUGGGAGCCGCAACAGAGUUGGGACAAUUAGCGGUCGUUUGUGUGGAAAGCCAUCGCCGCUGUCAAUCAGAUGUUUAUCGGAGGAGGUGAUUUCCGGGAUAAACGUGCAGGACUUUUCUUAACGAGCGGCAGCACAAAGACGACCUGGACGGAUUCUACCCGGCAGCAAGAGACCAGCCGCACAAAGACAAGACACAGGCGCUGCCCGCACAGGUGAAAAAGAAUGUACCUGCAAAAUGGCCACCUCGUUACGCAGCUGACUUUCUUGUUUCGUGGGAAAACGAAGUUUGUCAAUGAUCUUGAUGGCCACGUCGCGGCUGGACUUCCUGUGCUUGCCUGUCAACACACACCACGAACGUCCAUGUUGAAAUGUGCUCGAUUCCCAUGUGGUGACCACAGCUGCCCAAGGGGAGCCCAGUGUGGGGUUUUUUCAUAGGGGCCCAAAAUUCUCACAGAUACUCAACAAAGAGUUUCACCCACUCACAGGUAUUCAACUGGGACUUGAUGUGGUGACGACAGCUGCCCAGGGAAGCCUAAUUCCCGAAGAAUUCCUGGUGGUGCCUUUGCUCACGGGCUUGACUAAGACUGGAGUUCCACGGACUCACAGGUGCUUGACCAAGACUCGAGUCUCAGCCACUCACAGGUGCUCAACAAAGACUUGAGUUUCACGGACUCACAGAAGAAGACUCGCGUUUCACUGACUCGCGGGUACUUGGAGAAGACUCCAGUUUCACUGACUCACAGAAGAAGACUCAAGUUUCACUGACUCACGGGUACUUGGAGAAGACUCGUUUCACUGACUCACAGAAGAAGACUCUAGUUUCACUGACUCACGGGUACUUGGGAAAGACUCGUUUCACUGACUCACAGGUACUUUAAGAAGACUCCAGUUUCACUGACUCACAGGUACUUUAAGAAGACUCCAGUUUCACUGACUCACAGGUACUUUAAGAAGACUCAAGUUUCACUGACUCACAGGUAAUUGGAGAAGACUCAGGUUUCGCUGACUCAUGGGUACUUGGAGAAGACUCAAGUAUCACUGACUCACAGGUACUUAAGACUCAAAUGUUACUGACUCGCAGGUUCUUGGAGAAGACUCAGGUUUUACUGACUCACAGGUACUUGGAAAAGACUACAGUUUCACUGACUUACAGGAGAAGACUUGAGUUUCACUGACUCACAGGUGCUUUAAGAAGACUCCAGUUUUACUGACUCAUGGGUACUUGGAGAAGACUCGAGUUUCAUUGACUCACAGGAGAAGACUCGAGUAUCACUGACUGACAGGUACUUAAGACUCAAAUGUUACUGACUCACAGGUUCUUGGAGAGGACUCCAGUUUUACUGACUCACAGGUACUUGGAGAAGACUCAGGUUUUACUGACUCACAGGUACUUGGAGAAGACUGAGGUUUUACUGACUCACAGGUACUUGGAGAAGACUCAGGUUUCACUGACUCACAGGAGAAGACUCAAGUUUCACUGACUCACGGGUACUUUGAGAAGACUCGAGUUUCACUGACUAACAGGUACUUGGAGAAGACUCCAGUUUCACCGACUCACAGGAUAAGACUCAAGUUUCACUGACUCACGGGUACUUUGAGAAGACUCGAGUUUCACUGACUCACAGGUUCUUGGAGAAGGCUCCAGUUUCACCGACUCACAGGUACUUUUAAGAAGACUUGAGUUUCACUGACUCGCGGGUACUUGGAGAAGACUCGAGUUUCAUUGAUUCACGGGUACUUGGAGAAUACUCGAUGUUCAUGAACUCACCCGUGCUGGACAGACUCCACCCGAUCUUGCUGUGCUGCUAGUGCGUUACUAGUGUACCGUGUUGCCAGAUGUACGAUGAGGAUUAAGUAUGACAAUUGAUACAGUUUUUACGAUUCUGAUUCCAUUCCAGUGGGUUCUUCAGAGUCUAGAGUCCCCAGAAAACUCCCCAGGGUGUCCAGUAAAAUGAUUCUCCUAAAAGUUCCAGUGUUUUGAAGGACAGGAAGCUAAUGCUAGUGAGACGACUUUGCAUGUCUUCAUGCCACUUGCAUGCAUGCUAGCUAAGCUAAUUCAUUAGCCCUCUUGAUUGAUUGAUUGAUUGACAGAAAAGCAUCCUCUGAGAGACUGUCCCUAAUUUAUGAAUUUAAUUUAAUUGCCCCAACAUUUGAAUAUUUGUUGUUAUUUGUGUCUGCCGAGGAAACAAAGGCUAGCUACUCUUGCUUCUUCCAACAGGAAGUCCACAAGUGAGUCAGCGCAAACACACGCACACGCACACGCACACGCAACGAUGGUCGAAUGAAGUUAAGGCGCGUUACCAAGACAACACACUUUGAUCCUGAACUUUCACCCCAUCCACGCGCGGCAUCCAUGUUGUCACGUCACAGCUCGUGCGCUAGUAGUGAAAUAAGUUGUUACCUUCUGGUCCACGAUGUUACACGCCGCUUCCCGAACCUGAGCCAGGCUCAGCUCCGCCGAGUCCAGCAAAACCGGUUCGCGGCUCAAUCCGAUCUGGAUAUGGAACGAGAUCACGCCCCCCCCUGCCGGCGCACCGGGACCGGGGCAGCUGCCCCCCCCUGAGAACGACGGGAGCGGGCUGGGGGCGCGGAUGAGCG